RNAcentral lists this ribosomal RNA (274 nucleotides) under Trieres chinensis. Its description in RNAcentral is "partial Bacterial small subunit ribosomal RNA". It matches the Rfam family "Bacterial small subunit ribosomal RNA", at positions 21 to 297 of the family's 1533-position model. Lineage: Eukaryota; Bacillariophyta; Thalassiosirophyceae; Eupodiscales; Parodontellaceae. The record is from RNAcentral.
GGCUCAGAUUGAACGCUGGCGGCAUGGUUAAAACAUGCAAGUCGAACGCGAAAGCACUUCGGUGCAAGUAGAGUGGCGAAAGGGCGAGGAAUAACUACCUAACGUGCCUUCAGGUAAGGGAUAGCUCAUGGAAACGUGUGGUAAUACCUUAUAAUCUCAUUGCUUCAUAUGGAGUUUUGAGCAAAGGCUUGCUGCCUGAAGAUCGGGGUAGUUCCUAUCAGCUUGUUGGUGAGGUAACGGCUCACCAAGGCGAAGACGGGUAGCGGGUGUGAGA